RNAcentral lists this ribosomal RNA (430 nucleotides) under uncultured bacterium. Its description in RNAcentral is "bacterial SSU rRNA". It matches the Rfam family "Bacterial small subunit ribosomal RNA", at positions 64 to 524 of the family's 1533-position model. The record is from RNAcentral.
GAACGUCCUACGCAAGUAGGGAGUGGCGGACGGGUGAGCAACACGUGGGUUAUCUGCCCUGAGGUGAGGAAUACCGGCGAGAAAUCGCCGACAAUACCGCAUAUGCUCUUUCGCGAGGAAGAGCAAAGCCGGCAACGGCGCCUGAGGAUGAGCCUGCGCUCGAUUAGUUGGUUGGUGGGGUAAUGGCCUACCAAGACUGCGAUCGAUAGCUGGUCUGAGAGGACGAUCGGCCACACUGGGAUUGAGAACGGCCCAGACUCCUACGGGGGGCAGCAGUGAGGAAUUUUCGUCAAUGGGGGCAACCCUGAACGAGCAACGCCGCGUGCAGGAAGAAGGUUUUCGGAUCGUAAACUGCUUUUAUACUGGGACGAGAACGGACGGUACCAGAGGAAUCAGCCUCGGCUAACUACGUGCCAGCAGCCGCGGUAAU